GAAAAUAUGGCACAUUACUGACCUUGCCCUUUGUUAGUUUCUAUUUUUUCUUAUAUUGGAUUCUUGACUCUAAGGUUUGUUUUGUUUUAAUUUUUAAAAUGUUCUUUAUCUAUCUUCCCCAAACGUAAGCAGAAAUACCUCCCCUAGUUAAUUUAACAGAAGGAAUUUAAUAUAAAGAACUGGUUAAAUAAGUGUAGGAAAACCAAAAAGUCAAUAAGAGAGUCCUGAGGUAGGACAGAGAUAAUGGUGGCAGCAGGCAGUUGAACCUCUAAGUGUCGUGAAUGUAAGGGAAAAUGUUGCUCUUUCAAGAACCUCAGACGUGCGAAGGGCUUCCUGCAGGGUUGAGGUCCGGGUCUCUGGGAACAGAGGGCUGCCCAUACGGAACUUGAGAGGGUGCGUGGUAAGGAAGGUUCUGUGUUUCUCUCCCACUUAGACGCUGGAGCUGAAUGCUCUGCUGGGAGGAAGCACUCAUUCUCUGGCAAUGCUGACGGGAGUGGAAAACAAGCAGGAAAGCACAGCCGCCGCCUUCAUCUUGCCUUCCCAUCGCUCACUGGCAGAUUUCGAAUAUGGAAACGGAGCAGACAGAGUCUUAGGAGGGAACAGGGGCUCUUGAACUCUCUGGCUGCUGUUGGAUCCUAUGCCCUCAACAGUAUUGAAUUACCCCUGAGCUAACUACUGCCAGUCCUUCUCUUCUUUGCUGAGGAAGCCUGGCCCUGAGCUAACAUCGUGCCCAUCUUCCUCUACUUUAUAUGUGGGACGCCUACCACAGCAUGGCGUGCCAAGGGAUGCCAUGUCCGCACCCGGGAUCCGAACCUUCAAACCCCAGACCGCUGAGAAGUGGAACGUGCGAACUUAACUGCUGCGCCACCGGGCCAGCCCC
RNAcentral lists this long non-coding RNA (880 nucleotides) under Equus caballus (horse). RNAcentral's name for it is "lncRNA (ENSECAG00000054393.1)". Lineage: Eukaryota; Metazoa; Chordata; Mammalia; Perissodactyla; Equidae. The record is from RNAcentral.